CCAAGAAAGAUUUAGGAAAUACAAAUGUCAUGAAUUUUAAGCGCUCCAUUUUAUCGGUACUUCAAACGAAUUUGGUGCGUGACAAAGAAAAUGUCAUAGAGACGGACGUCAUGGGGAAACACAACUCACGCUACAUGUCAACAGAGCUGCAGUUUGGGGAAAUAGAAAUUAAGAAGCAUUUUUCCUCCAAGGACAUCUACGUGGAGGAUAAUA
Molecule: long non-coding RNA, 213 nt
Organism: Lingula anatina
Lineage: Eukaryota; Metazoa; Brachiopoda; Lingulata; Lingulida; Lingulidae
Source: RefSeq, a predicted model, not a curated record